AACGAACGCUGGCGGCAUGCCUAACACAUGCAAGUCGAACGAGACCUUCGGGUCUAGUGGCGCACGGGUGCGUAACGCGUGGGAACCUGCCCUUAGGUUCGGAAUAACUCCCCGAAAGGGGUGCUAAUACCGGAUAAUGUCUUCGGACCAAAGAUUUAUCGCCGUUGGAUGGGCCCGCGUUGGAUUAGCUAGUUGGUAGGGUAAAAGCCUACCAAGGCGACGAUCCAUAGCUGGUCUGAGAGGAUGAUCAGCCACACUGGGACUGAGACACGGCCCAGACUCCUACGGGAGGCAGCAGUGGGGAAUAUUGGACAAUGGGCGAAAGCCUGAUCCAGCAAUGCCGCGUGAGUGAUGAAGGCCUUAGGGUUGUAAAGCUCUUUUACCCGGGAUGAUAAUGACAGUACCGGGAGAAUAAGCUCCGGCUAACUCCGUG
Molecule: ribosomal RNA, 433 nt
Filed under: uncultured bacterium
Lineage: Bacteria
Description: partial 16S ribosomal RNA
Rfam family: Bacterial small subunit ribosomal RNA
Source: RNAcentral